AGGACGAACGCUGGCGGCAUGCCUAAUACAUGCAAGUCGAGCGAAUGAUGAAGAAGCUUGCUUCUUCUGAUUUAGCGGCGGACGGGUGAGUAACACGUGGGCAACCUACCUUAUAGCUUGGGAUAACUUCGGGAAACCGGAGCUAAUACCGAAUAAUUCAUUUCCUUUCAUGAGGGAAUGCUGAAAGAUGGUUUCGGCUAUCACUAUAGGAUGGGCCCGCGGCGCAUUAGCUAGUUGGUGAGGUAACGGCUCACCAAGGCAACGAUGCGUAGCCGACCUGAGAGGGUGAUCGGCCACACUGGGACUGAGACACGGCCCAGACUCCUACGGGAGGCAGCAGUAGGGAAUCUUCCACAAUGGACGAAAGUCUGAUGGAGCAAUGCCCGCGUGAGUGAAGAAGGUUUUCGGAUCGUAAAACUCUGUUGUAAGGGAAGAACAAGUACAGUAGUAACUGGCUGUACCUUGACGGUACCUUAUUAGAAAGCCACGGCUAACUACGUGCCAGCCGCCGC
RNAcentral lists this ribosomal RNA (512 nucleotides) under uncultured bacterium. RNAcentral's name for it is "bacterial SSU rRNA". It matches the Rfam family "Bacterial small subunit ribosomal RNA", at positions 26 to 518 of the family's 1533-position model. The record is from RNAcentral.